CGUGUAGGCGGUUGGUCAAGUCGGGUGUGAAAUCCCGGGGCUCAGCCCCGGAAGUGCAUCCGAAACUAGCCAGCUAGAGCGCGAUAGAGGAGGGUGGAAUUCCUGGUGUAGCGGUGAAAUGCGUAGAUAUCAGGAGGAACACCGGCGGCGAAGGCGGCCCUCUGGAUCGUUGCUGACGCUGAGACGCGAAAGCGUGGGAGCAAACA
Molecule: ribosomal RNA, 206 nt
Filed under: uncultured bacterium
Lineage: Bacteria
Description: partial 16S ribosomal RNA
Rfam family: Bacterial small subunit ribosomal RNA
Source: RNAcentral